GAUGAACGCUGGCGGCGUGCCUAAUACAUGCAAGUAGAACGCUGAAGGAAGGAGCUUGCUCUUUCCGGAUGAGUUGCGAACGGGUGAGUAACGCGUAGGUAACCUGCCUGGUAGCGGGGGAUAACUACUGGAAACGAUAGCUAAUACCGCAUAACAGUAGAUGUUGCAUGAUAACUACUUAAAAGGUGCAAUUGCACCACUACCAGAUGGACCUGCGUUGUCUUAGCUAGUUGGUGAGGUAACGGCUCACCAAGGCGACGGUACAUAGCCGACCUGAGAGGGUGGGCGGCCACACUGGGAAGGGGACACGGCCCAGACUCCUACGGGAGGCAGCAGUAGGGAAUCUGCGGCGAAGGAGGGAAGUCUGACCGAGCAACGCCGCGGGAGUGAAGAAGGUUAUCGGGUCGGAAAGAUCUGUUGUAAGGGAAGAAAGAGUGUUAGAGGGUAAAGUGCACAAUGUGACGGUAUCUUACCAGAAAGGGACGGCUAACUACGUG
This 497-nucleotide ribosomal RNA is filed under the name uncultured bacterium. Its description in RNAcentral is "partial 16S ribosomal RNA". It matches the Rfam family "Bacterial small subunit ribosomal RNA", at positions 28 to 507 of the family's 1533-position model. The record is from RNAcentral.